CCGACACCCGACACUCUAACCAGUACUUUCUUCUUUUUUCCCUUAAGCGCUACGUGGGCUAAGCAUUCUGUCUACUUUCCAAUUCUAUAUGUAUGUGAAGCUUAUUCAGUAGCUUGUUCCCUAGUGGGUUCCGCCUCACAACACAAGAUCUAAUCUCAGACCAAACCUGACGCGCCCUCUCCCGACGCUUACUUAGUAGGGUGAAUUUAGGCUUAGUGCCGAUCCUUGUUUGUAAGUCGUCUUGUACUGCAGAUCACUCAACUCGAGAUUAGAUGGGAAGACGAUGCAACGAGCCCGCCCUUUUGGAUUUGAGGUUGCUGUAUGAUCCGGAAGCCUAGGUACUUGAUUUCGAUGACACUGAAGGUCGUCUUGCCUUUGGUUAUUUUGCCUCAUCCCUAUACUAGAGAACCUUCUUUGACCAGCAAGCAAGCCCAUAAAUAGGGCGCCUCGACUAGUAGCGGUCCUAGUCCAAGCCGAGUAGUACCACUUUGCACUAAAGACGCAUACUUAUUCAAAUAGGUGCUUCCGCUAUGGUAAAUAGGUGCUUCCAUCAAAGCUAUGGUAGCCAUGGGUUCCACUAUGUUUGUCUAGAGAGUUCGGCAGCAGCAGAGCACAAAUAAUCUUCUCCAACCAACCUUGACAAGCGCGAAGAUUACCUGUAUUGGGCUUUAGUCAGGAGUAGUGGGUCCCGGUACCUGUUUUUCCUGUCUCCUUAUUCGCUACCUCACUAACCUAUGCAAGACUCUACCCUGACUGGUUGACUUCUGUGAUACAUCCUACAGAUAGCCCAGCGGUCCUCCGCAGUAUAUAAAUAAGGGUAAUAAGCCCUACCCAAAUUCUCAAUGUCCUUUAGAGUACUUUCUUGAUAUGUGUCCUGCUCUAACUGCUUAUUUCCAUCAUAUAAAACUCUUCUUAUACCUUAGCCAGCAUUACUAGUGCUUGGGUGCUGUUUCAUCCUUAUAUUUCUCUAUUAUCUCUUGAGUCUCACGGAUCUUCUUAAACCACUGGGAUUCUUCACGCCAAGCGUAUACAACAAGUCCAGUGUUCUAGAGCUUCUGUUUCCUUUCCUUGCACCCCAAGAGUAAUUAAUAGGAUCCUAUUAUGAUUAGUACCUUAUCGCUGGCAAUACUUAACGCCUCGGAAUUCAUUGACUCUUUGACUUGGGCUAACGGAGCUGUACUUGCACUUGCCCCGGAUUCUUAUCUUUCAACGAAAACUCCAGUUGUCGCAUCUGCCCUGUGAAGUCUCCUUCAGUUCCCCCCAGGUUAGGAGUAACAAAAAGAAUCAUCAUAAGCCGAAUCCGAAUCGACUCUCUUUUCGAAUGCCCAUGGAGCAGUGUGUGAAGCAUCUAUUGACCCUGUAAGUUAAUGGCGAGAGUAAGAUGUGCGGUAUCCAGUCAUUGUCCCGCUCUAGCUCGCCGGUGAGAGUGUUGGUGCUCUAGCUCUAAGUCUGUGAUAGAGGGUUCUUGCGUUGUGGUAAGCAAAGAAAGAAAAGGAUCAAGAUCAGAUGUGAUUAGUUAGUUGUCCUCUUCUUCCUAACACCGGCAAGUACUUGACUAUUCUUUUUCCUCUUAUUCUAUUCUCGUUUCGUUAACUGCUUACUUUCUUUCGCCAACCCCUGGAAUGGAACUUGCUGCUCCCGUUCGCGCACCGGUACCUUAUUCUUUCCCGACUAUAGGAUGAAAGUUGCCCGCUUGCUACUGGACUUGAGAAAGCUUCGUAUCACUCCACCUGGACCAGAUUCUGCACUUCAUCUGUGGCUUCUUAUCCUUAUUCUACGUAUCUCGUAAGGUAUCAAUCAAUUUGAACCCCGGGUUACCAGUGUAGGCCUAUAAUCGAUAGGUGAAACACUCUUUUCUUUUUGGCGAGAUCUACAAUAACUGGAAUACUGUGCUGUGGAGCUGUAGUGGGCCUUUUGACUUAGUUUAAGCUAUGUGUUACUCUGCUAAUGGCAAAUGAAUUCCUAAUUGAAACUUGGAAACAGUCUUUCUACUUCAUUAAUAUCCUUGCUUUGCGCUGUUCCUAAGUGCAUUAGCUUACUUUUUGGGUGCUACGGGCAAGAACAAAAGUACUCUUGGCUAGGGAACAAGCUUAAUAAGAUAAUGAAACGCUUACGUUAGUUUUUUGCCUCAACUCAAAUAUGAAGUUAAUACUGACUUAGCCGGUGCAGCUGCUUCUGUCCAGCAAGUGCUUAGUCUAGGGUGCGGGUCAAUAAUCUAUUCCAUAACGGCUACUAUUGGUAAUGAAUGAAAGUCAAAGAAGCCCAACCUUUAUAUACGCGUAAACUCAUAUUGUCCUGCUGUAGCUCAAAGGUGAACUCCGUUAGCGCAAACACUUAUUGAACUUGUGCGUUAAGCCAGCUGUAAACAGGUAAGGUGUUGCAGAGCCAGUAGAAAGUAUGAUGCUACGUCGCAAAGCAGUUUAGUUAGGUGGAGCAGAGCCAGUAGAAAGUA
Molecule: long non-coding RNA, 2452 nt
Filed under: Musa acuminata (dwarf banana)
Lineage: Eukaryota; Viridiplantae; Streptophyta; Magnoliopsida; Zingiberales; Musaceae
Description: long non-coding RNA (MACU_LNC009868)
Source: RNAcentral